RNAcentral lists this unclassified non-coding RNA (369 nucleotides) under Hevea brasiliensis (rubber tree). Lineage: Eukaryota; Viridiplantae; Streptophyta; Magnoliopsida; Malpighiales; Euphorbiaceae. The record is from RNAcentral.
AGUCAAUACAGUGGAAACUCUUGAAUAUAUCUUAUCUAAAGAAACGAAAUCUCAAUCUGGAAAGACGAUGAUGACGAGGUCACUGAUCCGAAUUGAAAGUGUUAAACAGUAAGGUAAACAGUAAGGCGUGCAACGUGAUCCGCCGGAGCUCCGAUCGAAAUUCUCCCUUCCCGUUUCUACUUCGGUUUGCGAUGAUUUGUUUUUUGCGCGCGAAGCAAUAACGAAAGUGAUACAUAGAAAGGAUGAGAUCAGAAUCUGAUUUAUAUAGAGGUUCUUUAGAAGGUUUGAGGUUGAGGCUUUUACAUUCCAGAGACUUCAAAAUUAACUGUUUACAAACGAAAGCGAAAGCCGUGAGCCAUUCCUUUUUGC